AGACAAGCAAACUGAGGCAAAUAGAGUGCUGAACUCUAUGGACUGCAGCAACAAAUACCGUGGACCUGUGCCUUCCAGUUGUUCAACCAAUGGAAAGCCCUGGCAACCACUGCAGAAACUGAGAAGAAACAGGCUGAGAAAUGUGUUUUCCCAGCUCCCUGUCUCCCUGCUGGAUCACUAUGGGCUCAACCAAAGGCCACAUCUCCUCUCAGGUGGACUGUCUACAUGGCUCCCUCUCUAGGCUCUAGUAACUACUACCUCCUCUCACUCCUUCAGACCUAGCAGUGCCUCAGCUUCCUGGGUUACUAGCCCCAGGGUACUGCACCAUCACUUGUUGCUUGCCCUAAACUCUGGUCAUACAUUUGCGUUAAGUUCAAACUUAUAAAAUUGCUAUUUUUGAAAGUCAAAAAUCAACAAAUAUUGGC
Molecule: long non-coding RNA, 425 nt
Filed under: Homo sapiens (human)
Lineage: Eukaryota; Metazoa; Chordata; Mammalia; Primates; Hominidae
Description: HSALNT0215288
Source: RNAcentral